ACGGGAGGCAGCAGUGGGGAAUAUUGCACAAUGGGGGAAACCCUGAUGCAGCGACGCCGCGUGAGUGAAGAAGUACUUCGGUAUGUAAAGCUCUAUCAGCAGGGAAGAAAGUGACGGUACCUGAGUAAGAAGCACCGGCUAAAUACGUGCCAGCAGCCGCGGUAAUACGUAUGGUGCAAGCGUUAUCCGGAUUUACUGGGUGUAAAGGGAGCGUAGACGGAGAAGCAAGUCUGGAGUGAAAGCCCGGGGCUCAACCCCGGGACUGCUUUGGAAACUGUUACUCUUGAGUGCCGGAGAGGUAAGCGGAAUUCCUAGUGUAGCGGUGAAAUGCGUAGAUAUUAGGAGGAACACCAGUGGCGAAGGCGGCUUACUGGACAGUAACUGACGUUGAGGCUCGAAAGCGUGGGGAGCAAACAGGAUUAGAUACCCUGGUA
Molecule: ribosomal RNA, 434 nt
Filed under: uncultured Lachnospiraceae bacterium
Lineage: Bacteria; Bacillati; Bacillota; Clostridia; Lachnospirales; Lachnospiraceae
Description: bacterial SSU rRNA
Rfam family: Bacterial small subunit ribosomal RNA
Source: RNAcentral